Molecule: non-coding RNA, 73 nt
Organism: Pangasianodon gigas (Mekong giant catfish)
Lineage: Eukaryota; Metazoa; Chordata; Actinopteri; Siluriformes; Pangasiidae
Source: the annotation of a GenBank genome assembly
GGCUGUUGCAGUUCAGUGGUUAAGGUCUUGUGCUUGUGACCACAAGGUUGUGAGUUCAAACCUCAAGAAGCCG